GCGGCGAACGGGUGAGUAAUGCUUGGAAUCUUCCCAGUAGUGGGGAAUAACCAGUCGAAAGAUUGGCUAAUACCGCAUACGUCUGUAAAGGGAAAGCGGGGGCUCGUAAGACCUCGCGCUAUUGGAUGAGCCAAAGUCGGAUUAGCUAGUUGGUGGGGUAAUGGCCUACCAAGGCGACAAUCCGUAGCUGGUCUGAGAGGACGACCAGCCACACCGGAACUGAGACACGGUCCGGACUCCUACGGGAGGCAGCAGUGGGGAAUAUUGGACAAUGGGGGAAACCCUGAUCCAGCGACGCCGCGUGUGUGAAGAAGGCCUGCGGGUUGUAAAGCACUUUUAGUGGGGACAAAAAGCUACGGAUUAAUACUCUGUGGUCUUGAUUUAACCCAAAGAAAAAGCACCGGCUAACUCUGUGCCAGCAGCCGCGGUAAUACAGAGGGUGCGAGCGUUAAUCGGAAUUACUGGGCGUAAAGCGCGCGUAGACGGUUUUGUAAGUCAGAUGUGAAAUCCCUGGGCUCAACCUGGGAACUGCAUUUGAGACUGCAUGGCUAGAGUAUGGAAGAGGGAAGUGGAAUUUCCGGUGUAGCGGUGAAAUGCGUAGAUAUCGGAAGGAACACCAGUGGCGAAAGCGACUUCCUGGUCCAAUACUGACGUUCAUGUGCGAAAGCGUGGGGAGCAAACAGGAUUAGAUACCCUGGUAGUC
RNAcentral lists this ribosomal RNA (703 nucleotides) under uncultured bacterium. RNAcentral's name for it is "bacterial SSU rRNA". It matches the Rfam family "Bacterial small subunit ribosomal RNA", at positions 95 to 795 of the family's 1533-position model. The record is from RNAcentral.